RNAcentral lists this unclassified non-coding RNA (609 nucleotides) under Hevea brasiliensis (rubber tree). The record is from RNAcentral. Lineage: Eukaryota; Viridiplantae; Streptophyta; Magnoliopsida; Malpighiales; Euphorbiaceae.
GCCCCCUGGGAGUGUUAAAUUGGAAGUUUUGCAAAUUAUUGCUACCAUACAUAUAUUUUAAACUAUCAAAUUUGAAAAAGCAAGUACAACUUGUUAGUUUAACAAUCAAAGAAACAGACACCACUAAACUAUUUCUCAUUUCGUUAAAAGAGCACUUCAUAAUGACAAUGCCAGAAAAUUUCCUACUUGAGUGUUAUCGUCAAAGUGACAGCUGGACUAUGAAGCAAGAGAUUGCAUACUUGUUCUCAUUCCAUUUCUUUUAUUUGGCUGCUUCAGAAGCUUCAGUUGUUUUAACUUCUCUUGGACACUGAGACACAUAAGGCUUUAGCUUAAAGUCAGUCAAAUCAGGGACGAUAUAGUUAGGCAAUUUCUCAGGCACAAUAACAUAUCCACCUUUGCGAGUGUGAAAACCGGUAGGCUUGCAAUUUUUCCCCUUGUAGUAAUCGCGAGGAGCACGUUUUGACGAGAGAAUGUCCAACGACGACGUUCGCUUUCUGCGCAUUGCCCUCCCUAUCCCCAGUAUCAGUCCCAACGGCAUUUUCGAGCAAAAAAGCUAAUAGGAUUGCAGAGUUUGGCACAGCAGCGGAGCAAAGUGAAACCAAGAGGCAC